AACACAUUUCUUUUGAAUAUGCCAAAAGUAGUUCCAAUGAAAAAUUAUUUGUUUUUAUUUCAAUUAAUCUGUUGCAUAGCUAAAUCAGACUUGCAUCACUAUUCACAAAUUUUCUAUGAAUAUGUAUACCAAUUUAAUUAGGUAUAAACACAAUGUAAUUGCAAGCAGUUGUUAGCAUAGAUUCAUAAUUUAAAAAAAAUAAAAAAAUAAAUCAAGUUUUGUAUGAAACUGUUGUUUUUAAAAAGCAUUAGGGGAUACUCAUACAUUUAAUUUUUGCUCAGUUCACAUAAGCACGGUGCUAACUCAUGUAAAAUGUAGUGAUAAUUGUUCUGUGAACUAAAUAAGUUUGUCUUUCUAUGUUCUCAAACUUAUAUUAUUCUUUAUUUCUGUUUAGAAUCACAUGGAAAUACUACUGAAGAUUAGGCUGUAUGGUCUCAUGCCUUUGCCUAUCCACUUGUGGAUAAUAUAUACUACUACUUAUAUUAUUCUGAUGAUGAGGGAGAAAAUAAAUAAAAUAACUAUAUUAUGUUAAAUCUUUGCGAGUAAAAAAUACAUAUUAUCUUUUAGAUAAUAAAUAUAUGAAUAUUAUUUAUUACAAUAAUUGUAAAAUUUUCAUUAUUCUCUUUUUUAUAGAAUAUAUUGUGAUAGUGUAAUCAAUUAUUCAGGUUUUUAUAUUAAUACUAUAUAUAUUAUAUUUUUGUGAAUACUCUUUUAUUCAAUUUUAUUAAAAAGAGUUUAAGGCAAAAAAGGGCUAAGUGGAAUGUUUGAUAAUGUCUUUAUUGUAGGAGAGAUAGAAAUAAUAUAGACAAAAAAUUAGAGAUUGUGUCAAUUGUGUUCUGUCAGUCCUCAAAAUAUUAUAUGCAGUAUUUAACACAUUUUGAAAGAUAGUGCCUUAUUAAUAAUUAUAAAAAUGAAGUACUGUAGUAAAAUCUAAAUAAAUGCAUUAACAUAUUGAUCAUAUUUAUACAUAUACUACCUUAGCUAUCUAGCUACCUUUUAUAAUGGCAAACUUUAUAAAAAGUACCUAUUUAUGAUACAUUGAUACAUUUCAUGUUAAUUAAAUUUAUGACUAGAGUUAUUUUGUGUAAACCAUACAACAGUUUGAAACAUCCAUAAAAGCAUAAUUUUUUGUGUUUUGUGCAUGCUAUGCUUUGGACAUCUCCACAUGGACCAGUACCAUUGGUUCAUGCUUGCAUAUGCUAAGGAGUGGCCUGUGUAGCAGUGCAAUGGACAAAAGUGAUUAAGAGUUAGAGAAAUUAAUCCAAUUUGGCACCUGACAUAGAUUUGUAAUGCUGGUCAAGAUAUUAUUAGUGUGGUUGCUAAUCAUCCAGGAGCAUGCCAUGAUUCCUUUAUUUGGAAUAAUCAUCUGCUAUGAUCACACUUGAAAACUACAACUGAGGCAAUAUGGCUUUUAGGAAGGUCCACAGAAGAGUUUCAACAACAGGCUUUGAUGUAACCAACUGUAAUAUCUCUUUAAGAAUCAGUAGAGCAGCAAAAUCCUGAAUUACAGGUGGACUUUUCAGCAGGCUACUGAAACAAAUAAUAUUUUACAUAAUAAUAACUUAGGAUACAAUACAUAACAUUUGCUUAAUGAUUUCGUAUAUGAUUUAGACCUCUAU
This is a long non-coding RNA of Achroia grisella, 1619 nucleotides long. RefSeq lists it as uncharacterized. The record is from RefSeq and is a predicted model, not a curated record. The transcript is spliced from 3 exons. NCBI's taxonomy places the organism in Eukaryota, Metazoa, Arthropoda, Insecta, Lepidoptera, Pyralidae.